This is a small nucleolar RNA of Peromyscus californicus insignis, 117 nucleotides long. RefSeq annotates it as small nucleolar RNA SNORA26. The record is from RefSeq and is a predicted model, not a curated record. The transcript has a single exon. Lineage: Eukaryota; Metazoa; Chordata; Mammalia; Rodentia; Cricetidae.
CAACAUAUCUGAAGGAAAAAGUGAACACAGUCCAGAGAAGGGUAAAGUGAGUCUCUCUACACCACCCAGAGAAGAGAUUAAAAUACUACUAUUUGCAUCCUGCCUGGAGUCACAGUU